CGGACUUGAUAUCUAACAAAUCAUCCAGAGAUGGAAGAGUGUCUGCUUGCAGAAAUGUUAAGACAGGUGCUGCACGGCU
RNAcentral lists this ribosomal RNA (79 nucleotides) under uncultured Campylobacter sp. RNAcentral describes it as "partial 16S ribosomal RNA". Lineage: Bacteria; Pseudomonadati; Campylobacterota; Epsilonproteobacteria; Campylobacterales; Campylobacteraceae. The record is from RNAcentral.